RNAcentral lists this ribosomal RNA (432 nucleotides) under uncultured bacterium. RNAcentral describes it as "partial 16S ribosomal RNA". It matches the Rfam family "Bacterial small subunit ribosomal RNA", at positions 29 to 506 of the family's 1533-position model. The record is from RNAcentral.
AACGAACGCUGGCGGCAUGCCUAACACAUGCAAGUCGAACGAGACCUUCGGGUCUAGUGGCGCACGGGUGCGUAACGCGUGGGAACCUGCCCUUAGGUUCGGAAUAACUCCCCGAAAGGGGUGCUAAUACCGGAUAAUGUCUUCGGACCAAAGAUUUAUCGCCUUUGGAUGGGCCCGCGUUGGAUUAGCUAGUUGGUAAGGUAAAAGCCUACCAAGGCGACGAUCCAUAGCUGGUCUGAGAGGAUGAUCAGCCACACUGGGACUGAGACACGGCCCAGACUCCUGCGGGAGGCCGAAGUGGGGAAUAUUGGACACUGGGCGAAAGCCUGAUCCCGCAGUGCCGCGUGAGUGAUGAAGGCCUUAGGGUUGUAAAGCUCUUUUACCCGGGAUGAUAAGACCAGUCCCGGGAGAAUAAGCUCGGGCUACCUCCGU